RNAcentral lists this ribosomal RNA (1260 nucleotides) under Staphylococcus aureus. RNAcentral describes it as "partial 23S ribosomal RNA". It matches the Rfam family "Bacterial large subunit ribosomal RNA", at positions 1663 to 2925 of the family's 2925-position model. The record is from RNAcentral. Lineage: Bacteria; Bacillati; Bacillota; Bacilli; Caryophanales; Staphylococcaceae.
GUAGUCAAGAUGAGAAUUCUAAGGUGAGCGAGCGAACUCUCGUUAAGGAACUCGGCAAAAUGACCCCGUAACUUCGGGAGAAGGGGUGCUCUUUAGGGUUAACGCCCAGAAGAGCCGCAGUGAAUAGGCCCAAGCGACUGUUUAUCAAAAACACAGGUCUCUGCUAAACCGUAAGGUGAUGUAUAGGGGCUGACGCCUGCCCGGUGCUGGAAGGUUAAGAGGAGUGGUUAGCUUCUGCGAAGCUACGAAUCGAAGCCCCAGUAAACGGCGGCCGUAACUAUAACGGUCCUAAGGUAGCGAAAUUCCUUGUCGGGUAAGUUCCGACCCGCACGAAAGGCGUAACGAUUUGGGCACUGUCUCAACGAGAGACUCGGUGAAAUCAUAGUACCUGUGAAGAUGCAGGUUACCCGCGACAGGACGGAAAGACCCCGUGGAGCUUUACUGUAGCCUGAUAUUGAAAUUCGGCACAGCUUGUACAGGAUAGGUAGGAGCCUUUGAAACGUGAGCGCUAGCUUACGUGGAGGCGCUGGUGGGAUACUACCCUAGCUGUGUUGGCUUUCUAACCCGCACCACUUAUCGUGGUGGGAGACAGUGUCAGGCGGGCAGUUUGACUGGGGCGGUCGCCUCCUAAAAGGUAACGGAGGCGCUCAAAGGUUCCCUCAGAAUGGUUGGAAAUCAUUCAUAGAGUGUAAAGGCAUAAGGGAGCUUGACUGCGAGACCUACAAGUCGAGCAGGGUCGAAAGACGGACUUAGUGAUCCGGUGGUUCCGCAUGGAAGGGCCAUCGCUCAACGGAUAAAAGCUACCCCGGGGAUAACAGGCUUAUCUCCCCCAAGAGUUCACAUCGACGGGGAGGUUUGGCACCUCGAUGUCGGCUCAUCGCAUCCUGGGGCUGUAGUCGGUCCCAAGGGUUGGGCUGUUCGCCCAUUAAAGCGGUACGCGAGCUGGGUUCAGAACGUCGUGAGACAGUUCGGUCCCUAUCCGUCGUGGGCGUAGGAAAUUUGAGAGGAGCUGUCCUUAGUACGAGAGGACCGGGAUGGACAUACCUCUGGUGUACCAGUUGUCGUGCCAACGGCAUAGCUGGGUAGCUAUGUGUGGACGGGAUAAGUGCUGAAAGCAUCUAAGCAUGAAGCCCCCCUCAAGAUGAGAUUUCCCAACUUCGGUUAUAAGAUCCCUCAAAGAUGAUGAGGUUAAUAGGUUCGAGGUGGAAGCAUGGUGACAUGUGGAGCUGACGAAUACUAAUCGAUCGAAGACUUAAUCAA